Molecule: long non-coding RNA, 271 nt
Organism: Cotesia glomerata
Lineage: Eukaryota; Metazoa; Arthropoda; Insecta; Hymenoptera; Braconidae
Exons: 3
Source: RefSeq, a predicted model, not a curated record
UCGGUUAAUUGCCAGCGUUGAAUUGUCUACAAGAAUAUGCUACGGGCUUAUUUAUAUGAGGUGCGUAUGCCGAGCUAGAAAAAUAAACAAAAAAAAGAAUUUUUUUUCCUAUGUUAUUUAAAUGGGAAAUGAAAAAUUAGGGACAGACACCUUUAAAUAUUAAUAUUAAGAGCUCCGCUUUGAACAGGCUUCUGUUCUCACCUUCAUGCAAGUUUUCAGCCUGUUUUUUCGAUGAGAAAAAAAAGUCGCCUAAAAUUGAAACACCCUAGUA